UUUUUAGUAUAAAUAUGCCCCAUACGGUAUUUGGGUCAUACUUAUACUAAAA
This 52-nucleotide microRNA precursor is filed under the name Loxodonta africana (African savanna elephant). RNAcentral's name for it is "mir-1302 microRNA precursor family". It matches the Rfam family "mir-1302 microRNA precursor family". Lineage: Eukaryota; Metazoa; Chordata; Mammalia; Proboscidea; Elephantidae. The record is from Rfam by way of RNAcentral.